UACGGGGGGGGCAAGCGUUGUUCGGAAUUACUGGGCGUGAAGGGCUCGUAGGCGGCCAACUAAGUCAGACGUGAAAUCCCUCGGCUUAACCGGGGAACUGCGUCUGAUACUGGAUGGCUUGAAUCCGGGAGAGGGAUGCGGAAUUCCAGGUGUAGCGGUGAAAUGCGUAGAUAUCUGGAGGAACACCGGUGGCGAAGGCGGCAUCCUGGACCGGCAUUGACGCUGAGGAGCGAAAGCCAGGGGAGCAAACGGG
Molecule: ribosomal RNA, 253 nt
Filed under: uncultured bacterium
Lineage: Bacteria
Description: partial 16S ribosomal RNA
Rfam family: Bacterial small subunit ribosomal RNA
Source: RNAcentral